UCAUUUAACAGUAAUAUGUUUUGAAAACAUAAGAUAGAAUAUAAAAAUUCUAAUGAUUU
This 59-nucleotide transfer RNA is filed under the name Glomeridesmus spelaeus. Its description in RNAcentral is "tRNA-Ser". The record is from RNAcentral. Lineage: Eukaryota; Metazoa; Arthropoda; Diplopoda; Glomeridesmida; Glomeridesmidae.